GGGCCGGGGCCUUCCCUUGCUAGUCGAGCGGCAGCACGAGAGAGCUUGCUCUCUUGGUGGCGAGUGGCGGACGGGUGAGUAAUGUAUCGGAACGUGCCCAGUAGCGGGGGAUAACUACUCGAAAGAGUGGCUAAUACCGCAUACGCCCUACGGGGGAAAGGGGGGGAUCCCAAGACCUCUCACUAUUGGAUCGGCCGAUGUCGGAUUAGCUAGUUGGUGGGGUAAAGGCCUACCAAGGCGACGAUCCGUAGCUGGUUUGAGAGGACGACCAGCCACACUGGGACUGAGACACGGCCCAAACUCCUACGGGAGGCAGCAGUGGGGAAUUUUGGACAAUGGGGGAAACCCUGAUCCAGCCAUCCCGCGUGUGUGAUGAAGGCCUUCGGGUUGUAAAGCACUUUUGACAGGGAAGAAAUGACAAGGGCUAAUAACCUCUGUCUAUGACGGUACCUGUAGAAUAAGCACCGGCUAACUACGUGCCAGCAGCCGCGGUAAUACGUAGGGUGCAAGCGUUAAUCGGAAUUACUGGGCGUAAAGCGUACGCACGCGGCUAUGAAAGAUAGAUGUGAAAUCCCAGGGCUCAACCUUGGGAACUGCAUUUUUAACUACCUAACUAGAGUAUGUCAGAGGGGGGUAGAAUUCCAUGUGUAGCAGUGAAAUGCGUAGAGAUGUGGAGGAAAUACCGAUGGCCAAGGCAGCCCCCCUGAGAUAAUACUGACGCUCAUGUACGAAAGCGUGGGGAGCAACAGGAUUAGAUACCCCUGCUAGUCCACGCCCUAAACGAUGUCAACUAGCUGUUGGGUCCGCUAAGACUGACUACCGCAGCUUACGCGUGAAGUGGACCGCUUGGGAGUACGGUCCGCAGAUUAAAACUCGAUGAUUGACGGACCCGCACAUCGUGAUGAGUUGGAUAAUCCGAUGCACGGAAACCUACCUACGUUGACAGUUCCUAGCAC
Molecule: ribosomal RNA, 956 nt
Filed under: Alcaligenes faecalis
Lineage: Bacteria; Pseudomonadati; Pseudomonadota; Betaproteobacteria; Burkholderiales; Alcaligenaceae
Description: bacterial SSU rRNA
Rfam family: Bacterial small subunit ribosomal RNA
Source: RNAcentral